AUUGAACGCUGGCGGCAGGCCUAACACAUGCAAGUCGAGCGGAUGAAGGGAGCUUGCUCCUGGAUUCAGCGGCGGACGGGUGAGUAAUGCCUAGGAAUCUGCCUGGUAGUGGGGGAUAACGUCCGGAAACGGGCGCUAGUACCGCAUACGUCCUGAGGGAGAAAGUGGGGGAUCUUCGGACCUCACGCUAUCAGAUGAGCCUAGGUCGGAUUAGCUAGUUGGUGGGGUAAAGGCCUACCAAGGCGACGAUCCGUAACUGGUCUGAGAGGAUGAUCAGUCACACUGGAACUGAGACACGGUCCAGACUCCUACGGGAGGCAGCAGUGGGGAAUAUUGGACAAUGGGCGAAAGCCUGAUCCGGCCAUGCCGCGUGUGUGAAGAAGGUCUUCGGAUUGUAAAGCACUUUAAGUUGGGAGGAAGGGCAGUAAGUUAAUACCUUGCUGUUUUGACGUUACCAACAGAAUAAGCACCGGCUAACUUCGUG
This 484-nucleotide ribosomal RNA is filed under the name uncultured bacterium. Its description in RNAcentral is "partial 16S ribosomal RNA". It matches the Rfam family "Bacterial small subunit ribosomal RNA", at positions 30 to 507 of the family's 1533-position model. The record is from RNAcentral.